This 359-nucleotide ribosomal RNA is filed under the name uncultured bacterium. Its description in RNAcentral is "partial 16S ribosomal RNA". It matches the Rfam family "Bacterial small subunit ribosomal RNA", at positions 338 to 693 of the family's 1533-position model. The record is from RNAcentral.
CCUACGGGUGGCAGCAGUGAGGAAUAUUGGUCAAUGGGCUUACGCCUGAACCAGCCAAGUCGCGUGAGGGAAGACUGCCCUAUGGGUUGUAAACCUCUUUUGUCAGGGAGCAACGCCGGCUACGUGUAGCCGGACUGAGAGUACCUGAAGAAAAAGCAUCGGCUAACUCCGUGCCAGCAGCCGCGGUAAUACGGAGGAUGCGAGCGUUAUCCGGAUUUAUUGGGUUUAAAGGGUGCGUAGGCGGUGUGAUAAGUUAGAGGUGAAAUGUCGGGGCUCAACCCCGAACCUGCCUCUAAUACGGUGGGACUAGAGAGUAGUUGCGGUAGGCGGAAUGGAUGGUGUAGCGGUGAAAGGCUUAG